This 72-nucleotide transfer RNA is filed under the name Ictidomys tridecemlineatus (thirteen-lined ground squirrel). Its description in RNAcentral is "Spermophilus tridecemlineatus (thirteen-lined ground squirrel) tRNA". It matches the Rfam family "tRNA". From Rfam's summary of the family: Transfer RNA (tRNA) molecules are approximately 80 nucleotides in length. Their secondary structure includes four short double-helical elements and three loops (D, anti-codon, and T loops). Lineage: Eukaryota; Metazoa; Chordata; Mammalia; Rodentia; Sciuridae. The record is from Rfam by way of RNAcentral.
GGGGUUGUAGCUCAGUGGUAGAGCGCUUGCCUUGCAUGCAUGAGGCCCUGGGUUCAAUCCUCAGCAGUACAU